This 382-nucleotide long non-coding RNA is filed under the name Mytilus galloprovincialis (Mediterranean mussel). Lineage: Eukaryota; Metazoa; Mollusca; Bivalvia; Mytilida; Mytilidae. The record is from RNAcentral.
UAGUAUACAUAUUUUUAAGGGCCAGCUGAAGGACACCUACGGGUGCGGGAAUUCUCGCUACAUUGAAGACCCAUUGGUGGCCUUCGGCUGUUGUCUGCUCUAUGGUCGGGUUGUUGUCGCUUUGACACAUUCCCCAUUUCCUUUCUCAAUUUUAUGAUCAUAAUCCUAUAACAUAUAGAGACUAGCAGUGAUCGGCGUGGGGAAGAAACUGGGAAUAGAUAGUUGAUAGCAAAUACACUUUACUUAUAUUGUAUGUAUGUUCAGAGUAUAUAGAAACGCGAAAAUCAUAGAAUUUAACUGAAAGCAGAAAAAAUAACGGACUUUGGAAAAAGGGAGAGGACUUAAAAUAAUUGUCCUGUCUCCAAGUGCAUAUAACUCCGUU